Molecule: unclassified non-coding RNA, 241 nt
Filed under: uncultured Basidiomycota
Lineage: Eukaryota; Fungi; Basidiomycota
Description: sequence contains ITS1
Source: RNAcentral
CAGUAUGAAUAGAAGGAUGGUGCUGGCCCUUUACUUGGGCAUGUGCACGCCUUCAAUUUCAAUCCACAUACACCUGUGCACCGCGGACGAGUUUGGACUCCACUGGAUACAACAAUUGUGUUCAGUGAGUCGUUUCUUGACUUUGUUAGGGAACUGAGUCUGAACUCUGUUCUAUUUCCACUACACUAAUGCCUGUAUAAAAAUGCAUGUCUUUUGGCUCUACGGAGCUUUAAACAAAAUA